Molecule: non-coding RNA, 566 nt
Organism: Rattus norvegicus (Norway rat)
Lineage: Eukaryota; Metazoa; Chordata; Mammalia; Rodentia; Muridae
Source: RefSeq, a predicted model, not a curated record
CAGACUGGAGGGAGAAAAGAUUGUGAGGCAGCUAGAAGCUUCACGAGCUUAAAAGGGGGCCGCGCGGUCCCACCGGAUUGGGGGCGGCUACAACUCCGCCCCCCAUGGCCGGGCUUCCCUGCGGUCCUGGGGCGGAGCCACCCCUCGGGGUCUGUGGGGUGCGUCUGUCCCAGGACUCUGCCACCCGGCGGCAGAGGGAGGCGUUUGCAGAUUCCAGUGCUUGGCACCAGCCCUCUGUGAAGACUGAACCCUGGCACCUCACCGCUCGCCAAGUCCGUUGACGCUGCUCUGGUCGUCAGUACUAAGCGGGCCCCAGAAAUAACUGUGCCUGGAGCCCUGCAUGAUUUAGCAGAGGAAAACAGAAGGCAGGCAUUCUAAGACAUAGACAUGGGCAAAGACUUUCCAAGGAGGACUCCAACCGCUCAGGAAACUACAGCAAGUGUUGACCAGUGGGACUGCAUGAAAUCAAACAGUUUCUGCACUGCACAAGGAACUCUCAGCCAAUCUCUGGCUCUCUUUGCCCUUGCUUCUGGGAAUGUAAAACAUUACAGAUAUGCUAAAAUCAA